GAUGAACGCUGGCGGCGUGCUUAACACAUGCAAGUCGAACGAAGCACUUGAGAACGAUUCUUCGGAUGAGGACUUUUGUGACUGAGUGGCGGACGGGUGAGUAACGCGUGGGUAACCUGCCCUAUACAGGGGGAUAACAGUUAGAAAUGACUGCUAAUACCGCAUAAGCGCACAGGACCGCAUGGUUCGGUGUGAAAAACUGAGGUGGUAUAGGAUGGACCCGCGUCUGAUUAGCUUGUUGGUGGGGUAACGGCUCACCAAGGCGACGAUCAGUAGCCGGCCUGAGAGGGCGACCGGCCACAUUGGGACUGAGACACGGCCCAA
RNAcentral lists this ribosomal RNA (324 nucleotides) under uncultured bacterium. RNAcentral describes it as "bacterial SSU rRNA". It matches the Rfam family "Bacterial small subunit ribosomal RNA", at positions 28 to 334 of the family's 1533-position model. The record is from RNAcentral.